RNAcentral lists this transfer RNA (85 nucleotides) under Aeromonas hydrophila. RNAcentral describes it as "tRNA-Tyr". It matches the Rfam family "tRNA". Rfam says of the family: Transfer RNA (tRNA) molecules are approximately 80 nucleotides in length. Their secondary structure includes four short double-helical elements and three loops (D, anti-codon, and T loops). RNAcentral also lists the same sequence under 2 other names. The record is from RNAcentral. Lineage: Bacteria; Pseudomonadati; Pseudomonadota; Gammaproteobacteria; Aeromonadales; Aeromonadaceae.
GGAGGGGUUCCCGAGUGGCCAAAGGGAUCAGACUGUAAAUCUGACGGCUAUGCCUUCGAAGGUUCGAAUCCUUCUCCCUCCACCA